GACUUCAUAGCUCAGUUGGUUAGAGCAUCGCACCGUUUUCAUGAGGUCACAGGUUUAAACCUGUUAAAGUCC
Molecule: transfer RNA, 72 nt
Filed under: Acropora cervicornis
Lineage: Eukaryota; Metazoa; Cnidaria; Anthozoa; Scleractinia; Acroporidae
Description: tRNA-OTHER
Source: RNAcentral